UGAUCAUUUUGAAUUUGAUAUAAAAGAAGUAUUAGAUUUAAGAAUAAGACAUGGAAGGCUUGAAUAUUUGAUCCAUUGAUGCAGAUAUAAUAUCAACGAUCACACAUGGAAACUACUUGGGAAUCUUAUAAAUACACAAAUGAAGGUUUAAAAGUUCCAUGAAUAACAUCCAUCCAAAAUAAAAGUGGCAAAAUAGAAAACACUAACUUGAUAAGAUGGCUUCACUAUAAAGAUUCUUAAUUCUUAGCUUCGUAAAGAAUGGAAGGAGGCAAUCUUU
This 277-nucleotide long non-coding RNA is filed under the name Physcomitrium patens. RNAcentral describes it as "long non-coding RNA (PPAT_LNC012191)". The record is from RNAcentral. Lineage: Eukaryota; Viridiplantae; Streptophyta; Bryopsida; Funariales; Funariaceae.